This 594-nucleotide long non-coding RNA is filed under the name Rattus norvegicus (Norway rat). Its description in RNAcentral is "long non-coding RNA NONRATT023476". The record is from RNAcentral. Lineage: Eukaryota; Metazoa; Chordata; Mammalia; Rodentia; Muridae.
AGUGCGGAGCGUGCCUCCUAAGCUUGCGGCUUAGGAAACGGUGGGAGGAGGCAGUGUGCCCAGGUCUUCACGGACAGGAUUCGGAGUUUCCUCCCAACCCUGCGCUUUCCACGGAAGAGAGGCGAGGAGAGUUUGGGGUCUCGAGAGCACUCAGCACCAGAGAACCUCCUCCACCGUGGGUCCUUCUUGGGCCCCUGCAGAGUCCUACCCUUCCAGACUUUUCAAGAUUUGAGCUUCCCACUGUCUUGAAUUCAGAGAUCUACCUGCUUCUGCCUUCUGAAUGCUGGGAUAGCAGGAGCAAUGGCGAUCUGGAGUGACAGAGCAGUUGAAGGCGAAGUUACACGUUGGAGUAAGGCUUAUGGAAAGAAAAUGCUGAAACCCUCCUCACAGACACAAAGGAAAACCUGGAGAAAUGGAAAGACCAUGUUUUUGGCCAGGAAGACUCAACGUCAUAAAGCUGUCAAUUCUCCCUAAGUACAUUUCUAAAUUUAAUGUGAUCCCAAUAAAAUACCAACAGAUUUUUUUUAAAGCCAGACAAGCUGAAUUCUAAAGUUCAUGUGAAAAAAAUAAAGAAAUAAAAACAUUUGGAAAAAC